GAGAGAGAAAAGUAAAAGAUCUGCUUUAAAAAAAAUAUGGAAUGUCAUUUAAGAUGUUUUCAUUGCAUUAUGCCAGAAGCAUUACUGCAUUCUUGUUUUCUAACAACAAUAAGAUAAUUUAUGGAACAUGUAUCACCAUAGUCUUUUGCAUUGUGACAGGAAGGAUCAUGACAUUUUCAUUCUGUAUAAGGAAAAUCUUUAUAUUUCAGUUUUCUAGAAAUGACUUCUCAGACUGCUUUUAGUAUAUUAUGUAUAUUCAGCAGAAUUGCACAGUGGCUAAGCAAAGCUUCCCAGAAAUUCUGGCGCAGCUGAUUUGGUCUAUUGAAACCUCGUUUAGAAUUGUCCUCAUAAUAAGAUCUUGAUAAAGAGCUUUAAUUAGUCUAAUUAAGCAUCUAUCCUUUUUCUAUAAAGCAUUUGUCGGCCAUAAUUUCUCCAAAUUUAAAAGGUCAAAAGGUAAUAGCAGGCAAUAAAUGCAGUUUACAGUUGUUGGCCAUUAUUGUACAAAGUGGCGUAGAAUAAAUGGGUAUUAGUAGGAAAACUGCUUCCAUACAAGCCAAUUCUCUCAUCAGUAUACAUUGUUCUGAUUCUAAGCUAACUUGCAAAUAAUUAAUGUAAACAUUUUCAUAGUUACAAUGCAAAUAACCAAAAAACAUGACAAAAAUGCCACACAUUUCUCAAAGGAACUGUCAAAUAUUUUCAUAAAGUUUUCCAAAAACGGCUAACAGCAAGAUGGUUAAGGGAGUUUGUAUAAAGGUAAAGGAGUCCCUGCAAAUUUUACUCCGCUAGUUGUUGCCGACUACAGGGGGCUGUGUUCAUUUCCAUUUCAAGGCCAUUGAGUCAGCACUCUCUGAAGACAUUUCCAUGGUCAUGUGGCCAGCAUGACAUCACAGAACACUGUUACCUUCCCACCAAAGUAUACCUAUUUAUCUACUCACAUUGUAUGCUUUUGAACUGCUAGGUUGGCAGGAGCUGGAGUGACGACAGGAGCUCACUCCAUCGCAUGAAGCUUGGGCCUCAAACCUGGGCUGCCGGCUUUCAGGCCAACAAGCCCAGUGUCUUAACCACUGUGCUACCAUGCUGCUGUUUGUAUAAUGACUGAAGGCUAAUUCUUAGUUGCAGGAAGCAAAGUCAGCAUUGGGUUGCUGGUGGACGGCUGGCCCAUGAGCAUUUAUAGAGGUGGAAUCAGUAUUGGAGCUGGAGCAUGGACACUUCAUGGUUGAAUGAACACUUCAUGUAACUCAUAAUAUUUGUAUGGUUUGGGAUUAACAUGUUAUGAAAAGCCAGCUAUUGUGUUUUCUUUCAGGGAAACAUAAUUAAAGAAAUAAUAGCUUAGCAUAGUAUAAAUGCCCUGAUAAACAGGUGAAAAAAUCUGAAUGUGACAAAAUCUGAAUCAAUCUUGGUGGCUAUAAGGAGAAAUUUUACAGGGGCGUGGAGAGACUAGCAGACUUGAGAGGUAAUAGAGAUAGAUAAACCCAGUCUGUGAAGCUGCCAAGACCCCUUAUUUCAAUUUUCCCUUGGGACUUUACAAUUAUAGUACAUUCAGGAUUCCAGAUAUUUAAAUAGUAUGGUGGUUAACAUGAUAUUUAUGGUCUCCUGCUUUUGCUGUCUGAUUAUCUAGAAACCUUUUCAUAAGAGAAGGAACCCAUUAUGAGACUUUGGCCAACAAUGGAGUUGAUUUGAAAUCAUUGAUCCAUCUGCAUCAUUGAAGAUAAAGGUGGUCUCUACACUGUAGAACCAAGAAUCUCCGCUUAGGCGGCAUAGCAGAGGCCAAGGUUCAACUUCUGAUGUCUCCAGGCAGCCUGGAGAAAUGCAUCUCUGAAAUCAUGCAGAGCUGCUGGCAUUCAGUGUCAUCGGAACUGGACUAGAUGAAAGAAUGGUUUAACUCAAUAAAAGAGCUUCCCUGACAUUUCAUCUUCUUUACUGCCUUCUUAAAACACAUGUACUUUUAUUUAAACAUUCAACUUAAUUAAAUGUGCAUUUUGCGCCUGUUAAAUAUUUUUCCUUCGUAUGUCUUUUCAAAUUUUACAUUAUUGAAUUAUUAGUUGUAUUAGCUGUCCUUAAUAUUUGUAUUUAUUAAAUGUCAUAUGGUAGCACAGAAAUCUUCUGGAUAAAUCCAAAAUAUCUACAUUUUACACUGCAGAGAGAAAAAUGUAUGGUCCCUGUUAGGAAGGUGCCAGAAUUAUUUAUGAUGCAUAUUCUGUGCCACAAGUGAAUAUGAUAUCUGAAUGCUUCAUCAUGUGUCAAAUUAUAUGCAAACAGUCCAUGUCAGUCUGAACAUUCAGAAUGACACAGUUUCAAUGCUUGCAAUAAGACAGAAUCAUUGAGUUGGAAAGGACCAUCAACGCCAAUUCUUUUCAUGUGUACUAACUCCCAAAUAAAAUGCAUGCUUGUGUUGCUGGUCCAAAGGGAUUGACUUUCUUCUUUACUACAGAUAGCGCUUGACCUGAGGUGUUUGUUAAGAGAUUUAAGUUAAGUUGUUAAGUGUUGUUGGCUUCCGGUUGCUAAGUGAGCACAUGAUUUCAUGACCUUUUUUGCCACAUUUGUUAAUGGAAUCACUGUGGCCAUUCAGGAGACAUCACGUGACUGUGACUUGCAACCUUUCCUGUCAGCUUCCCUAUUGACUGACUGGGAAGGUUGCAAAUGGCAAUCCUGUGUCCACAGGAUGCUGUGGCCAUCAUAAAUGCUUGAUUGCCAAGCACCUAAAACACAAUCACACAAACACAGAGAGGCUGCAACAAUCGUUAAGUGUUACGAAAGGAGUAAGAAAGCAAGUCACUUUUUUCAGUGCUGUCAUAACUUUAAAUGGUCACUAAAUGAAUGGUUGUUAAUGACUAACCAUAGAUGUUAAACAUGAUGUUUGAUAGGCUCUCUUUUCAGCAUAGCACUAGCUUGCUAAUGGAUUUACCUGUCACAGUACUGCAAAGAACAACAGCUGUAUUGCAAGGAGAAACACAAAUUUUAUCACAAUCUGUGAUGAUUUCAAAAUGUCUAACAUGCUGAAGUAUUAUGGAGGCUUCAUAAUAUCAAGUAUCAAAUCCUUUCUAAUUUCAAUAUUACCCAAUGUUUUAUUUUUAACAUGCACUUAUCUUGAGUUUCAAAAAAUUUGCUCAUUGCUACAUAAGCAAAUGUUAACGCCAUAUUGGAUUGUUAGAAAUUACAAACACAAGUGAUUUUAUUAAGAAUAAUGUGGGCAUUUUAAACUUAAACCAU
RNA transcript from Ahaetulla prasina, 3210 nucleotides. It is a transcript of the gene named serine rich and transmembrane domain containing 1, with no coding region annotated. Lineage: Eukaryota; Metazoa; Chordata; Lepidosauria; Squamata; Colubridae. The transcript is spliced from 2 exons. The record is from RefSeq and is a predicted model, not a curated record.